ACACACACACACACACACGUAUAUAUGUCAUAGCAACACACACAGACCCUUUGGUGGUUGCUAACGUUAAAAUGCCAACAUUAUCAGCAAUGGAUAAGAGAUGACCCCAUCAAUUGCUUACAGGAAUAUGUGCUUCUACACUUUGGGAAAGCACAUAAGCCAGGAAUGGUGGCACACACUUGUAAUUUCAGCACUGCAGAGGGUAGAAGCAGGAGGAUCAGGAUGUCAACCUUACUCUUGGCUACAUAGUGGGUUUAUGGCCAAUCUAGGCUACAUGAAUCCUGGUCUCAAAAAAGAAAGAGAAAGCAGACCUGUCCUUGGCUUUAUUUACUAAAGUUUGAUAUACACCUCAAGAGUCAGCAGUUCCACUCUUAAGCAUGUAUGCAACCAAAGAGGACUAGCUAGAUCCAUCAAAGGAUGUUCAGAAGUGUUCACAAGGGUUGGGGAUUUAGCUCAGUGGUAGAGCACUUGCCUAGGAAGUGCAAGGCCCUGGGUUCGGUCCCCAGCUCCAAAAAAAAAAAAAAAAAAAAAAAAACCCAAAGCCGCAGAAAUGUUCACAGACGUUUAAAACAAUCAAAAGGGAACAGUGAGAUGGCUCGACAAGUAAAGGUGCCUGCUGCCAAAUCUGUAUUCUGUCCCUGGGACUCCCCUGGCAAAAAGAGAGUGCCUACUACCUCAGGUUGUUCUCUGAUACACACAAAAUAAAUUUUUCAAUGUUUAAAAGAGAGAGAGAAAGAAGAGAGAGAGAGAGAGAGAGAGAGAGAGAGAGAGAGAGAGAGGUUUAGUGGCUCAUUCCUUAAAUCCUAGUGCUCAGUAUUUUUGAGGUAAGAUAGGUCUCCAGUUCCGUGACAGCCCAGGUGAUAUAGUUAGACCCCACCCACAGCCCCCCCCCAAAAAAAGUAGUAAGAGAAAAGUCACUCCAUAGAAAAUGGUACCAGGCACAGUGUUUCAUGUCCCUAAUUCCAACACUCAUAACACUCCAAAGGCUGCAGCAGACAGUGAGUUUGGAGGCCAACCUGGGCUACAUAAUGAGACCCUGACUUAAAAAUAAUAAUUGUAAUGGGGGCUGAAGAGACGACUCAGCAGUAGAAGACGGUGACUGGUCUUCCUGAGGACCCCAGUUCAAAUCCUAACACCCAUGCAGCAACUCGCAACUGUCUGGAACUCCAAGAUCUGACACCUUCAUGCAGGCCUGGCUGCAGGCAAAAAACACCGAUGCACAUAAAAUGAAAAUAAUAAAUGUUUUAAAAAGUAAGUGGAUAAAUUGGUCUACACUUGCUUACUAUAUAUACAUGAAAAGAGAGAAAAUCAACAGUCCCUGCCUCUAAAGAUGUUCUAGAAACCCGCAGGAACACUCUUCCUGCAGAUUCCUCCCUAGCCUGGUGACGUAGGUGGGUGGGACACUGCAGGCCAGUCACGUGGAACCAGCUGCGCAGGCGCACAGCGAUGCACUGUCCGCAGACCAGUAGUUCUCUUUCACCAACCUGUGCCUCAUUUCCAGGACUUCCAACCUACUCUGCCACCUCCAACUGUGCCAGCCUUGGAGCAGCCUUCCCCCCCGACCCCCGUGGUGGCACAUGCCUUUUUAAUCCCAGUCUUCGGAGGCAGAGGCAGGUGGAUCACCGAAGUCACAGCCAGUCUCGUCUACAGAGCAAGUUCUGGGAUAGCCAAGGCUACGUGGAGAAAUCCUGUUUGGAAAAAAAGGAAUAAACAUUCUGAAGGAAUCUAGGUCAACUUGCCACUGAGCCCCUUGUACAUCCAUAUUUUACUAUGGAUCUAGCCUGGGUGCCCACCACCAGGACCCCAGCCUCUGGGAAUGCCGUGUCUCUCCUACGUGGCCUUCUGUCCAAGCUGCCGGUCACACUAUGCAUCAGCCACUAUAAACAAGCCACUGCCACAGCACAGCCUUCAUCCUCUCUCUGAGGAUUCUGACCCUUGAGCUCCUGCUUGUCUUUCCAUACCCCAAGCCCCACUAGAAGGAGAGUGUUCCUUCUGCUUCAUAUGACAUGUUUGUGUCUCUCUGGCAGGACUUCUCUGUCCUGUGUCUGUCUUGGGAUGCCUAAGUAGAAUCCAGACUCCGCCCACACUGAACUAUUGUUCUGUGCCUCAUCUUUCAUUCUUAGGAUUGGGCUGAUAUCAUUCCCUUCAAAACCGGGUUGUUCUGAGGAUGGUGUCCAGUGGCUUGCUAUACAUGUCAAGCAUUGACAGUGGAGCCAGCGCAGUUCCAGGAUAUUCGGGGAUACCAAGAAGACCCUGUGUCAAAACAAAGCAAACGGAAAGCACAGCACCAGCCACAAGGACCACGCCUGCCUCCCCUCCCCCAAGAGGGACGCUCCACUCUCUAGCAUUCUCUCACCAGCGUUCAGUCAACAAGCACGAUCCCAAUCUCUAUCACAAUGGCUCCUGUGCCUGUUUGGCAACACUGCCUAGAGCCCAGCUUGGCCUCCAUGUCCCUGCCCUUACCCCCACCUCCCUGAGCCUCUGACCAUGGAUCUCCCUCCAGGAACCUCUCUGCAUCCUCCCUCCUGGCCUGGAGUCCUUCUCUUCUCCCUCACAGCACCCUGGAAUCCCCACUAUCUGCCCCUCCAGCUCGCCUGCCUCCUGCUGAGACACCUCACAUCAGGCGGUGUGUGUGCAUCCGUGGGACCCAACACGGAAUUCGGAAUCUCGAAAGACCUUCAAUGAGUAUCUGUGUGGUGCACGAACAAACAAAUAAGCCAAUAAAAAUUGCAAGAGUGCAACAUGAACCCACUACACUGAA
This is a long non-coding RNA of Rattus norvegicus (Norway rat), 2761 nucleotides long. RefSeq lists it as uncharacterized. The record is from RefSeq and is a predicted model, not a curated record. NCBI's taxonomy places the organism in Eukaryota, Metazoa, Chordata, Mammalia, Rodentia, Muridae.